CCUACGGGUGGCAGCAGUGGGGAAUAUUGCUCAAUGGGCGAAACCCUGAACCAGCAACGUCGCGUGGAGGAUGAAGGUUCUCGGAUUGGUAACUCCUUUUGUUAGAGAAGAUAAUGACGGUAUCUAACGAAUAAGCACCGGCUAACUCCGUGCCAGCAUCGGCGGUAAUACGGAGGGUGCAAGCGUUACUCGGAAUCACUGGGCGUAAAGAGGGCGUAGGCGGGAUAGCAAGUCAGAUGUGAAAUCCUAUGGCUUAACCAUAGAACUGCAUUUGAAACUGUUAUUCUAGAGUGGGCGAGAGGUAGGUGGAAUUCUUGGUGUAGGGGUAAAAUCCAUAGAGAUCACGAAGAAUACUCAUUGCGAAGGCAACCUGCUAGAACCUAACUGACGCUGAUGCACGAAAGCGUGGGGAGCGAACAGGAUUAGAUACCCCUGUAGUC
Molecule: ribosomal RNA, 440 nt
Filed under: uncultured bacterium
Lineage: Bacteria
Description: partial 16S ribosomal RNA
Rfam family: Bacterial small subunit ribosomal RNA
Source: RNAcentral